RNAcentral lists this transfer-messenger RNA (365 nucleotides) under Paenibacillus curdlanolyticus. It matches the Rfam family "transfer-messenger RNA". Rfam says of the family: Bacterial tmRNA, also known as 10Sa RNA or SsrA, is named for its dual tRNA and mRNA-like properties. Lineage: Bacteria; Bacillati; Bacillota; Bacilli; Caryophanales; Paenibacillaceae. The record is from RNAcentral. RNAcentral also lists the same sequence under 1 other name.
GGGGGCGUUUAUGGAUUCGACGGGGGUAGUUCGAGCAUGGGUCGCGGGUAGUGGGGACGCGUCCGCUUCAUCAACGCUAAAGCCAAUUAAAUGGCAAACAACAAACUUCUUACGCUGUAGCAGCUUAAUAACCUGCUCGCGUGCUCUCGCUCUGUAUCGCCCAUGUACCGGGAUGAGGGCCCAACUUUAGUGGGAUACGCUGUCACAUCUCCGCCUGGGGUGUGCUGAAGAAGACAAUCAGGCUGACCUUAGCGAUAGCCGGUUACGGGGCGCUUGCUAGGGUGACAUUAAAACCGUGACUACACCCGUAGAAGCCUGUGUGGCGUUAUCUUCGGACAGGGGUUCAAAUCCCCUCGCCUCCACCA